CCCUCCGAGUCUUUGGACCUAAGGCGUCCGCUAUGGACCAUAGACCGGGGUUGUAUUGGAAACGAUACAGCCUCCCGUUGUGGAAAGGAGAACAAUAUG
RNAcentral lists this non-coding RNA (99 nucleotides) under human gut metagenome. RNAcentral's name for it is "Moco (molybdenum cofactor) riboswitch". The stretch from base 3 to 90 matches the Rfam family "Molybdenum/Tungsten riboswitch aptamer (Moco RNA motif)", at positions 13 to 119 of the family's 135-position model. The record is from RNAcentral.